Molecule: ribosomal RNA, 146 nt
Filed under: Phlebotomus tobbi
Lineage: Eukaryota; Metazoa; Arthropoda; Insecta; Diptera; Psychodidae
Description: partial small subunit ribosomal RNA
Source: RNAcentral
UGCGGUUAAAACGUUCGUAGUUGAAUUUGUGUCCCACACGGGUAAUGCACCCAAGUGCGGGUUUUGCAUUACUUGUUGCAUAUGUAUGUCUACCGUAAAAAGUGGCAUAUGUAUGUGACUUUAAGUGUGACGGAUGUUUUACCGGU